RNAcentral lists this ribosomal RNA (258 nucleotides) under uncultured bacterium. RNAcentral describes it as "partial 16S ribosomal RNA". It matches the Rfam family "Bacterial small subunit ribosomal RNA", at positions 96 to 354 of the family's 1533-position model. The record is from RNAcentral.
UGGCGGACGGGUGAGUAACGCGUGGGCAACCUGCCCCAUACAGGGGGAUAACAGUUAGAAAUGACUGCUAACACCGCAUAAGCGCACAGGGCCGCAUGGCCCGGUGUGAAAAACUCCGGUGGUAUACGAUGGAUCCGCGUCUGAUUAGCCAGUUGGCGGGGUAACGGCCCACCAAAGCGACGAUCAGUAGCCGGCCUGAGAGGGUGAACGGCCACAUUGGGACUGAGACACGGCCCAAACUCCUACGGAAGGCAGCAG